RNAcentral lists this ribosomal RNA (460 nucleotides) under uncultured bacterium. Its description in RNAcentral is "partial 16S ribosomal RNA". It matches the Rfam family "Bacterial small subunit ribosomal RNA", at positions 338 to 795 of the family's 1533-position model. The record is from RNAcentral.
CCUACGGGAGGCAGCAGUGAGGAAUAUUGGUCAAUGGGCUUACGCCUGAACCAGCCAAGUCGCGUGAGGGAAGACUGCCCUAUGGGUUGUAAACCUCUUUUGUCAGGGAGCAAUUGGCGCUACGUGUAGCGUUAUCUAGAGUACCUGCAGAAAAAGCAUCGGCUAACUCCGUGCCAGCAGCCGCGGUAAUACGGAGGAUGCGAGCGGUAUCCGGAUUUAUUGGGUUUAAAGGGUGCGUAGGCGGAAUGCCAAGUCAGCGGUAAAAUCGCGGGGCUCAACCUCGCUCCGCCGUUGAAACUGGUGUUCUUGAGUGGGCGAGAAGUAUGCGGAAUGCGUGGUGUAGCGGUGAAAUGCAUAGAUAUCACGCGGAACUCCGAUUGCGAAGGCAGCAUACCGGCGCCCAACUGACGCUGAAGCACGAAAGCGUGGGUAUCGAACAGGAUUAGAUACCCUAGUAGUC